AGAGUUGAUUCUGGCUCAGGAUGAACGCUGGCGGCGUGCCUAACACAUGGCAAGUCGAACGAAGCACUGUAACAGAACCUUCGGGUGAAGAUAUUGUGACUGAGUGGCGGACGGGUGAGUAACGCGUGGGUAACCUGCCCUAGGUACAGGGGGAUAACAGUUAGAAAUGACUGCUAAUACCGCAUAAGCGCACGAUGGUAGCAUUACCAGGUGUGAAAAAACUCCGGUGGUACAGGAUGGGCCCGCGUCUGAUUAGCUUGUUGGCGGGGUAAGAGCCCACCAAGGCGACGAUCAGUAGCCGGUCUGAGAGGAUGAACGGCCACAUUGGAACUGAGACACGGUCCAAACUCCUACGGGAGGCAGCAGUGGGGAAUAUUGCACAAUGGGGGGAACCCUGAUGCAGCAACGCCGCGUGGGUGAAGAAGUAUUUCGGUAUGUAAAGCCCUAUCAGCAGGGAAGAUAGUGACGGUACCUGACUAAGAAGCUCCGGCUAAAUACGUGCCAGCAGCCGC
RNAcentral lists this ribosomal RNA (512 nucleotides) under uncultured bacterium. RNAcentral's name for it is "bacterial SSU rRNA". It matches the Rfam family "Bacterial small subunit ribosomal RNA", at positions 8 to 518 of the family's 1533-position model. The record is from RNAcentral.